GGAAGAAGCAGGCUCCCAGCGGAGGAGACGGACGUGGGGCUCGAUCCUGGGAAUUACUUGGUGGAGACUCUCUUUCCUUUCUGGAUCGCAGAUUAUGCUCCAAAGUCAACAGUGAUGUCAUCUCCCUGUAACCAGCCAUGAUGAUGUCAGCAGCAGCCAGCCCUGCCCUUCAGAUGUGCUUCCAACGUGAAAGCUGCGAAUAGAAAUUGCUUCUUUUUUACAAAUAUUUUUUCCGCUUUUAUUUUUUUUUAAACUCUCGUGCUUCGUGCCAAAAAAAUGGAAAAUACACAUUUACCAAGAAGAAAUUUAGAUCCCCUAAAACCUUUCAGUGAACUGUUAGUACCAGUAACUGCUGUGACUUGGAAAAUACGCACAUUUCUGGGCAGGAAGUUAAGACGAAAUUUGAGUCCAGGCAUGAGGUGAUUGGUUUCCACUUAUGAUUUUCUGCCUGCCUUUCAAAACUUUGCCUCCAGGGCAGCUUUCCUUUGCAAUUGAAGCCACGUGCUUCCUGGUUCCUCUCCGGGGGCAGAGAGAGAGGAAACCCGCCCAUAGGCAGAGCAUAACAGUCUUCUGGGGCUUUGGGUGGGUUAAUUAGGUUCUGGUAAGAAAGGGGAGGUAAACGGAUGCAGCUCGGUACGGCAUUUACUUUGCAGGAGUUUUCUGAGUUUUGAAGGACAACAAGGGCAAAGCGGACAUAUUCUGGGGAGUUAUUAACUAUUAGAAGCAAUUAUCGGCUCAUACAUUGUAUUUACACCAUCCCUGCGCCGGGAGCCACUCAUGCCUGUGUUCCUCCUCCUCACCCCAGGACUCAAUGUUUUUCUUAAUUAAAGGCAAGUACUUGCCAGGUUACUUACAAGGAAUUGUUAAUGUCAAGUAAGAAGAGCAGAUAAAGCAAAUCCCAACAUGAGAGCUGAGAGGCCGGGAGAGAGAUCUCAGCCCAAGAGGCUAAGCCGAUUUCUAUACCGAAGAGUGUGGGAUAAAGAGAACAAGAGGGAGAAGGCAAAUGAUGGCCUGGAAGCUUAUAGAAGAUGCUGGGGUGAGGGGCCAUGGGAGAGAUUCUAGGGCGGGUGUAGGAUCUGAAUGGACAGGUUCAAGGAAGAUUUGUGCAUGGCUGGUGUGGAUGACAACCUGGAUUCCUGCCAAAAUUCCUCAGAAGACACAAGAAAUCUUUUGGAAUCACUUAGGAAGACGGCGUUCUGUGUCUGGAGUGGGCUUCUCUGGCUGUGACUUUAUACCAGGGCUGGACCCUCUGUGACACCAAUCAUACCUGGGUUGCAGCAUAAUGUGGACACUGUCUCUCUUUUCCACAGGAGGGGUUCUCUCUAGGACGCCACAUGAUAUUCAGUCAUCAUGGCUCCCUACGCUCCUCUUGACCAUUCCUCAGACUUCACUUAUUUUUCAUGUCCUUGGCCAUUUUGAGGAUGUUUGCGAGUUGCCCCACUCUUGGGAUUUUCUGAUGUUUUGCUCAUGCUUAGACUGGGGUUAUGAGUUCUCGGGAAGAAGAGAUAGGUGCCAUUUUCAUCAUAUAUCAAGAGUACAUACAAUCAACAUGUUUUAUGACUGUUGGUGUUUAAACUCGACCAACCACCCGGCUGAGGUUAUCUCCCAAUAGAAUUCUUCCCUCCCUGGAGAGAGGGUUCACGUGUUUUGUUUUGUUUUUUAAUCCAGCCCUUCAGCAGAUUAAAGAAGGCCCACCCACAUUGUGGAGGACAGUCUGCUUUACUCAAAGUUUACUCAUUUAAGGUUUAAUGUUUUCUAAAAACUACCUUUAAAGAAACAUCUCGAAUACUGUUUGACCAAAUAUUUGGGUAUCAUGGCCUUGCCAAGUUGAUACACAAAAUUAACCAUUGCUGUUGGGAAGAGGGGAGGAAAUGCUGAACAGACACAGGGUUGGAGGACCUGGCUCAGUGUUACCCCAGUGGGUGUGGAAGAUCUCUGUGGGAGAGACUGGACAACUGAUCUCCAUGACUCUGGAAGCAGUGUGGGGGGUGAGCUCGCUGGAGUCCUAUGGGGCAGAGGGAAGGAGGGCAGUAGAUGGGAGAUCUGGCUCACCGUCUCUCUGUCACUUUGACAAGAUCAUCUCACCCCUCUGGGCCAGCAGGUACAAAUCAUGAAAGUCAACAGGUGGGAGGGGAUGAAAUCUUGGUGGACGAGAGAGCUAAUUUUAUAUUUUUUUUUAAAUUUAUUUAUUUAUUUGAGAGAGAGCAUGCACAUG
Molecule: long non-coding RNA, 2215 nt
Organism: Ailuropoda melanoleuca (giant panda)
Lineage: Eukaryota; Metazoa; Chordata; Mammalia; Carnivora; Ursidae
Exons: 3
Source: RefSeq, a predicted model, not a curated record